GGGUGGUUAGCUCAGUUGGUUAGAGCACCUGCUUCACACGCAGGGGGUCGGUGGUUCGAAUCCACUACUACCCACCA
RNAcentral lists this transfer RNA (77 nucleotides) under Silvimonas iriomotensis. RNAcentral's name for it is "tRNA-Val". It matches the Rfam family "tRNA". Rfam says of the family: Transfer RNA (tRNA) molecules are approximately 80 nucleotides in length. Their secondary structure includes four short double-helical elements and three loops (D, anti-codon, and T loops). RNAcentral also lists the same sequence under 9 other names. The record is from RNAcentral. Lineage: Bacteria; Pseudomonadati; Pseudomonadota; Betaproteobacteria; Neisseriales; Chitinibacteraceae.